GCCUUCAUAGUGUAGUGGUCAGCACGUUCGGCUUGUAUUCGAGAGGUCCAUGGUUCAAAUCCCGGCGAAGGCA
This 73-nucleotide transfer RNA is filed under the name Stegodyphus mimosarum. It matches the Rfam family "tRNA". From Rfam's summary of the family: Transfer RNA (tRNA) molecules are approximately 80 nucleotides in length. Their secondary structure includes four short double-helical elements and three loops (D, anti-codon, and T loops). Further hydrogen bonds mediate the characteristic L-shaped molecular structure. tRNAs have two regions of fundamental functional importance: the anti-codon, which is responsible for specific mRNA codon recognition, and the 3' end, to which the tRNAs corresponding amino acid is attached (by aminoacyl-tRNA synthetases). tRNAs cope with the degeneracy of the genetic code in two manners: having more than one tRNA (with a specific anti-codon) for a particular amino acid; and 'wobble' base-pairing, i.e. permitting non-standard base-pairing at the 3rd anti-codon position. Lineage: Eukaryota; Metazoa; Arthropoda; Arachnida; Araneae; Eresidae. The record is from Rfam by way of RNAcentral.